AAGAUUUGCCUUCAUGACAAAGAGUGAGGUUGAUCAUCUUGAAGAUGGGUAUAGAUGGAGAAAAUAUGGACAGAAGGCUGUUAAGAACAGUCCUUAUCCAAGGAGCUAUUACAGGUGCACUACUCAGAAAUGUACGGUCAAGAAACGAGUAGAGAGGUCAUACCAAGAUCCAUCCAUUGUGAUUACAACAUACGAAGGGCAACAUAAUCAUCCGAUCCCUGCCACGCUUAGAGGAAAUGCUGCAGCUAUGUUCUCACAUUCUAUGCUUACACCAGCUCCCAUGGGAACUACUAGGCCUACCUUUCCUCAGGACUUUUUGGUUCAAAUGGCACCCCAUAUAAGCAACCAAGUGGGUGCAAACUCUAUGUAUCCACAGAGUCUUAAUAACCAACAUCUUCAUCACCAGUAUCAUCAGGUUCCUGACUAUGGACUUUUGCAAGACAUAGCCCCUUCCAUGUUCUUUAAACAAGAGCCCUGAAAUUAAGUGUUUCUUUCUCAUUUGUACAUAUACAUACUUCAACUACUUGGGUUCAAUUAUCAUCUUCUUCCUGAUUUUUGAGUUAGGUUACCAUAUGACACUUCUUUUCUUGAUACAUCUUGCUUAAUUAUGCCCACUUCGAAUACUACCAAGGAGUGGACUAUUUAUGGUUUUUUUUAGGGAUUGGAGGUGAUCAUGUGCUUGAUGAGAUGCUAUACAGAUCAACAGCGAGAAAAAUGUUUCAGAGAAUCCAAGAAGAAGAUGAGGUCAACCCGUAUAGCGGUUUUUCAAAAACCUAGCGUUAGGAGAUUGCAUCUGCAUGUGCGUGUACUGCGAAAUGCAAUCCCAUUGGAUGCUUUUAUUAUUGUAUGGAAAUGUGAGAAUGAGAUCCUUGGGGAUUUUUCUUCCUUUUAUUUUCUUUUUAAUGAAUGGAAGAAUUUCUCUUUCUUAUUUAUUAU
Molecule: unclassified non-coding RNA, 936 nt
Filed under: Hevea brasiliensis (rubber tree)
Lineage: Eukaryota; Viridiplantae; Streptophyta; Magnoliopsida; Malpighiales; Euphorbiaceae
Source: RNAcentral